This 469-nucleotide ribosomal RNA is filed under the name uncultured bacterium. RNAcentral's name for it is "partial 16S ribosomal RNA". It matches the Rfam family "Bacterial small subunit ribosomal RNA", at positions 28 to 507 of the family's 1533-position model. The record is from RNAcentral.
GACGAACGCUGGCGGCGUGCUUAACACAUGCAAGUCGAACGGAAAGGCCCUGCUUGCAGGGUGCUCGCGUGGCGAACGGGUGAGUGACACGUGGGUGUUCUGCCCCUUACUUUGGGAUAUGCCUUGGAAACUGGGUCUAAUACUGCAUAGAGCCAUGCUUUCUGCGGGGUGGUGGAUAGAUUAGUUUCGGUGGGGGAUGAGCUCGCGGCCUAUCAGCUGGUUGUUGUGGUAUUGGCCGACCAAGGCGUCGACGGGUGGCCGGCCGGAGAGGGUGGACGGCGACAUUGGGACGAAGAGACGACGCAGAAGCCUACGGGGGGCAGCAGUGGGGGAGAGUGUACCACAGGGGCAAGCCGGAUGCAGCGACGCCGCGUGGGGGGUGACGGCCUUCGGGUUGUUAACACCUUUCAGCGAUGGCGACGCCCUUGUGGUGACGGUAGUGGGAGAAGAAGCACCGGCUAACUACGUG